RNAcentral lists this long non-coding RNA (821 nucleotides) under Homo sapiens (human). Its description in RNAcentral is "HSALNT0089071". Lineage: Eukaryota; Metazoa; Chordata; Mammalia; Primates; Hominidae. The record is from RNAcentral.
UUUCAGCACAAUGUUGAAAAGCAGCGCUGAGAGGGGAUAUCUUUGUCUUGUUCCUGAUCUUGAGCCUUGAAAGAAAUCAGAAGAGAUUCUGAGGAGGUAGCUAAGGAAUCCCAGAUCACCUAAGAGUUUGGAAAGAAGAAAGAGGGCAUGGCACACCCAGGGGAAUGACGCCUCUGCACCCCAGCCUGGCCUCACAAGCACUGUAGUGGUUAUAUACGAGGCUCUGGGGGCUUUCUGCUGGAAUCCUCCUCCUGCUCUGCCAUGACCAGUUGUGAUUCUGGGCAAUUUACUUAGUCUCUGUCAGCCUUCCCCAUCCACUGGAGGAGAGAUAGUUUUAACUCAUGUCACUGUGAUAACUGCACUGAUGACAUCAGGUAUUUGACACAAAGUAAGCAUUCAAUAAACAUGCCUUUUUUUUGUUGUGGUAAAAUAGACAUAAUAAAAUUUAUAAUUUUGGCCAUUUUUAAGGGUAUGGUUCAGUGGCAUUAAGUACAUUCACAUUGCUGUGCAACCAUCACUACCCUCCAUCUCCAGAACAUUUUCAUCAUCUCCAACUGAAACUUUAUUCUUUUUUUCAAUCCAUUAGCUGGAUUUAGUCACGUUUAUAAAUUUCUUUAUAUGGUGUCUAACACGUUAACUAUAACAUCAGGAAACACAGGAUCCCAUUUUAGCUUUUGGAUUUUAUUUUUGAGCAAUUUAUUUGUAGGGAUUGAUAUUACAUUGCUUUUACUUUUUCUUAGAGGUCUUCCAAAUAACAAGAGAAAAUUUACUAUUUAAAAAAUAGAAUAAAAGUCAAUCUUGCAAUUUUUGUAAAUCCAAGC